ACCCUUGAAUAUCUCUAACCCCUGAUCCACUGGGGAGGCUGAUUUGAGAGGCCAGAAGAACUUGCCUGGCAAUUAUGAGUGGAUGGAGGAACUGCCUAUCCCUGUCCCAUUGUCUUGUCCACAGGUCAGCCUCACAAAGGGAAAGAGCCCUGGAUGGGAAUACAGUGGAAGCUCAUUCUCUUAGUGACCUGGGGACAUUGGCUCGAGAUGAAGCCUGGCAGGAGUGGCAACUCCAGGUGAUUUCUGCACCUUUCCUAUUUCCUGGGAGGUGGGCCAGGCCACAGUGUUAGCGGGAAGGGAACAGAACAGCCAGCCUAGUUAGAGGGAGUGUCUGGGGAAGGCCUAGGGUUGGAGGAAGAAGCUGUGCAGGACAGGGCUUGCCAGUCAGAAUGAAGUGGGAGGAAGAUGAGGGACACAGAGAAGCAGAGAGAGGCAGAGACACCAUGGCAGUGAGCAGUGAGGGAGACACUGACUUCAAAAACCCCAGGGACCAGGUGCCCCCAGCUCCACAGUCCAGGACCAAAGAGCCCUGAGAACCCUCCGGUGGCCAAAGAACUUCAGAGUUGCAUGAGGUGGGGUGGCUUUAGGGUCAAGAGGUAGUGGGGGGAUGAAACAUGGGUGUCAGCCUCUGAAGGACAAGGGACAGGUGUGGCUAGAACCUCCUAGGAUUCUGAUUCCAAGAUCCAGUCUCUAAAGAGGUUUUGGAUCAUCCAUUUCUUCAUUCCAUUCCUUCAUUUGUUAUGUGAGAGCUCCUGAGUGUGUCUCUCUCACUGGGCCUGUGCUGAGGCAGGGUGUGAGUGGGGAAAGAAAACAAGGUCCUCUCCUUGAUCCUCUCAUGACGGUGACAUGGACACUUGGGAAACACAGGAUUUCACAUUCAGUGAUGGAGGUUAAGAUCUGAGGGGGAGACCUGGACAUUUUUUUUGCACUGACUCUGGCGGUUGAAGCCAGUGAUUUAGUUCUGGAGUACAGACUAAUCAGCUGACCAUUUGCUCUCACUCCUCUGAGGUUUGGAUGCCUAAGAAGAGAGGAUUUGAGUCAAUAAAUGACUAUGGGGUCCUUGGAACCCAGUAAGCCCUCACUUCUGGUAGAGGAGAGGAUGGGCCUGUGGCUGCAGACAGACCUCAUGUGACCCCGAUCUCCCCUUUGUGUUUGUGUGACUGUGGCUCAGUGACUGUGCCUUCCUGUGCCUCAGUUUUCUCUCAAUCAAAUGAGCUAAAUGGCAAAUGGACUGUGGCUUUUCAUGCUAUCUGUGAAUAAAUGUUAAAGUAUUCACAGUCAACUGACUUAAUGCUUGGCACAGUGGAGGUGUUCACACAAACAGCAUUUAUUAUUAAUUUGCUUCCAUGAGAAAGCACCUUUGCGUCAGAUCCCUGUGGACAAACGGCUACCUGGUGCAUCUUCUCUCUUCUGUUUCUGCUUCUGGGGAUAUUAGACUUUCUAUGGAGUGUCCUAGGCCUCCUAAGGCAGUUGGCUGAUGGCCUACAAAGCUUGUCUUUCUGUCCUCUCCACUCUGAGUGUCAGGUGAAGAAAGCUCUGUCCUUGCCCAGAUGAGGCUCUGAGGACUGAGCCCUGGCUGGUGAACAGCUCCAGGAGACACAGUCCUCAGACAGCUGGUAAAUCCUUGGUCCCAGUAAGCCCUGCCAAAGAAGCCACAACCCAGUCCUGGCACAGGCUCCUCAGCUUUACCUGGAGCAAGGAUUUAGGGACAGGGGUCUGGGGUUGAGGCUUCUAGGGCUGAGCUUCUC
RNAcentral lists this long non-coding RNA (1748 nucleotides) under Homo sapiens (human). RNAcentral describes it as "non-protein coding lnc-CD177-5:5". The record is from RNAcentral. Lineage: Eukaryota; Metazoa; Chordata; Mammalia; Primates; Hominidae.